This 301-nucleotide ribosomal RNA is filed under the name uncultured bacterium. RNAcentral's name for it is "partial 16S ribosomal RNA". It matches the Rfam family "Bacterial small subunit ribosomal RNA", at positions 509 to 809 of the family's 1533-position model. The record is from RNAcentral.
CAGCCGCCACGGUAAUACGUAGGUCCCGAGCGUUGUCCGGAAUUAUUGGGCGUAAAGCGCGCGCAGGCGGAUCAGUCAGUCUGUCUUAAAAGCUCGGGGCUUAACCCCGUGAGGGGAUGGAAACUGCUGAUCUAGAGUAUCGGAGAGGAAAGUGGAAUUCCUAGUGUAGCGGUGAAAUGCGUAGAUAUUAGGAAGAACACCAGUGGCGAAGGCGACUUUCUGGACGAAAACUGACGCUGAGGCGCGAAAGCCAGGGGAGCGAACGGGAUUAGAUACCCCCGUAGUCCCUGUCUCUUAUACA